This 270-nucleotide ribosomal RNA is filed under the name uncultured soil bacterium. Its description in RNAcentral is "partial 16S ribosomal RNA". It matches the Rfam family "Bacterial small subunit ribosomal RNA", at positions 26 to 285 of the family's 1533-position model. The record is from RNAcentral.
AGAAUCAACGCUGGCGGCGUGCCUAACACAUGCAAGUCGAACGCGGUUACCCCGCAAGGGGUGACUGAGUGGCAAACGGGUGAGUAACGCGUGGGUGACCUACCUUCGAGUGGGGGAUAACGUUUCGAAAGGAACGCUAAUACCGCAUGACAUCCUGCCUUUGGACAGGCGGAGAUCAAAGCCGGGGAUCGCAAGACCUGGCGCUUAAAGAGGGCCCGCGUCCGAUUAGCUAGUUGGUGGGGUAACGGCUCACCAAGGCGACGAUCGGUA